GUGUGGUUUCAAUUGCAUUUCCAUUUUUUUAAACUCCCAAAAAUGUACAUUUGUGCAACUCAAACAAAAGCAGAGCCAUUCCAGUGAUAACUAGGCAUCAACAACCUCCUUCAAAUUCUUUUAAGCUGUACUUUGGGCUGGUUUAUCCAAGAAUUCACUACUGAACAACAACAAGAAAAAUUCAAGUUGGGUUUGGAUUUACUAGGAGACAGUUCUGUCCACAGUAUUCAGGUGAUUGGCCUGUUGAGCUUACUUUUGUUGAUGUUAAAUUUAUUGCAGCAAAACAAAGUGCAAGAGCUGGUGAGUUUACCAGAAGAUGAAGCUUAUCUCCCUGCAUGUUGGGUCAUCCUGAACUGACGUGCUUGGGGUUUUUUUUACAUCUCUUCAUGGUAUUUUUCCCUUUGAGUCAUAAAGUGAUCGAUCCACUUCGUGAGGAUUAUUAUUGAUUCAGGCAUCAGUGUCUGAUCUUCAGCAAACGCAAGACUGGAAGAGCAGGUCCAGCUUCAGGUCCAGCCAGAAAGCUCAUGAAGCAAGCAAGGCCUUGUCCUUCUUAGCAGGAAAAAGGUAGAGAGUGAGGUGGAGAGACCUGAAUGCCAAGAAAAAUGUGAAGAGAUAUUGGAUCUGGUCAUGUUCCCCCCCACAAGUCUGGAAGAGUUACUGGAUCAGUCAGAGGAAAGCAGCUGUACAAAUCAGUUAUCAGCUGCUGAAUGUUUGGAAAUGGAAACUACCAGGA
Cygnus atratus (black swan) is the source of this 733-nucleotide long non-coding RNA. RefSeq lists it as uncharacterized. The record is from RefSeq and is a predicted model, not a curated record. Lineage: Eukaryota; Metazoa; Chordata; Aves; Anseriformes; Anatidae. The transcript is spliced from 3 exons.